RNAcentral lists this ribosomal RNA (253 nucleotides) under uncultured bacterium. RNAcentral's name for it is "partial 16S ribosomal RNA". It matches the Rfam family "Bacterial small subunit ribosomal RNA", at positions 524 to 776 of the family's 1533-position model. The record is from RNAcentral.
UACGUAGGUGGCAAGCGUUGUCCGGAUUUAUUGGGCGUAAAGGGUGCGCAGGCGGUUUAUUAAGUCUGAUGUGAAAGCCCACGGCUUAACUGUGGAAGGUCAAUUGAUACUGGUGAACUUGAGUGCAGAAGAGGAGAGUGGAAUUCGAAGUGUAGCGGUGAAAUGCUUAGAUAUAUGGAGGAACACCAGUGGCGAAGGCGACUCUCUGGACUGUCGCUGACGCUGAGGCACGAAAGCGUGGGGAGCAAACAGG